GAUGAACGCUGGCGGCGUGCCUAAUACAUGCAAGUCGAGCGAACGGACGAGAAUCUUGCUUCUCUGAUGUUAGCGGCGGACGGGUGAGUAACACGUGGAUAACCGACCUAUAAGACUGGGAUAACUUCGGGAAACCGGAGCUAACACCGGAUAAUAUUUUGAACCGCAUGGUUCAAAAGUGAAAGACGGUCUUGCUGUCACUUAUAGAUGGAUCCGCGCUGCAUUAGCUAGUUGGUAAGGUAACGGCUUACCAAGGCAACGAUGCAUAGCCGACCUGAGAGGAUGAUCAGCCACACUGGAACUGAGACACGGUCCAGACUCCUACGGGAGGCAGCAGUGGGGAAUCUUCCGCAAUGGGCGAAAGCCUGACGGAGCAACGCCGCGUGAGUGAUGAAGGUCUUCGGAUCGUAAAGCUCUGUUAGUAGGGAAGAACAUAUGUGUAAGUAACUGUGCACAUCUUGACGGUACCUAAACAGAAAGCCACGGCUAACUACGUG
This 497-nucleotide ribosomal RNA is filed under the name uncultured bacterium. Its description in RNAcentral is "partial 16S ribosomal RNA". It matches the Rfam family "Bacterial small subunit ribosomal RNA", at positions 28 to 507 of the family's 1533-position model. The record is from RNAcentral.